Long non-coding RNA from Octopus sinensis (East Asian common octopus), 200 nucleotides. RefSeq lists it as uncharacterized. The record is from RefSeq and is a predicted model, not a curated record. The transcript is spliced from 3 exons. NCBI's taxonomy places the organism in Eukaryota, Metazoa, Mollusca, Cephalopoda, Octopoda, Octopodidae.
CAGUCUUCAUCAGGUAAAUAAGAACACCACUGGAAAAUACGAAAACUAAAAGAAGCGGCACAUAUGCUAGGACACAACAACCUCUUAAACAGAACGUGUGCAGAUAUGAAUAGCACAUGGGCACCGGUAUUGAGGAAGGUUAGGAGAAUAUUAGAUUUAUAAGCCCUAAAAUUCACUCCUUAAUUGACCACGGACAUUAU